Molecule: long non-coding RNA, 2122 nt
Filed under: Numida meleagris (helmeted guineafowl)
Lineage: Eukaryota; Metazoa; Chordata; Aves; Galliformes; Numididae
Description: lncRNA (ENSNMEG00000002126.1)
Source: RNAcentral
GGAGGUGACACCAGUGGAGGUGACACUGGUGGAGGUGACAUCUGUGGAGGUGACAGUGGUGGGGGUUCCCUCAGUAGUAGAGGAGACAAUGGAGGUCCCUGCUGAGGUGGUGGCAGAAGCAGUGGAGGUGACAGCAGUAGAGGUGACACCGGUGGAGGUGACAUCGGUGGAGGUGACGCUGGUGGAGGUGACACUGGUGGAGGUUCCCUCAGUAGUAGAGGAGACAGCGGAGGUCCCUGCUGAGGUGGUGGCAGGCGCAGUGGAGGUGACAUCGGUGGGGGGGACACCAGUGGAGGUGACAUUGCUGGAGGUGACAUCUGUGGAGGUGCCAUCCGUGGUGGUGACACCCGUGGAGGUGACAGCGAUGGAGGUGACAGCAGUGGUGGUUCCCUCAGUAGUAGAGGAGACAGCGGAGGAUCCUCCUGAGGUGGUGGCAGGAGCAGUGGAGGUGACAUCAGUGGGGGUGACACCGGUGGAGGUGACACCAGUGGAGGUGACAUCCGUGGUGGUGCCACCAGUGGAGGAGCCAUCUGUGGAGGUGACACCAGUGGAGGUGACACUGAUGGAGGUGACGUCUGUGGAGGUGACAGUGGUGGGGGUUCCCUCAGUAGUAGAGGAGACAGUGGAGGUCCCUGCUGAGGUGGUGGCAGGAGCAGUGGAGGUGACACUUGUGGAGGUGACAUCGGAGGAGGUACCACCAGUGGAGGUGACACUGGUGGAGGUUCCCUCAGUAGUAGAGGAGACAGUGGAGGUCAUUACUGAGGUGGUGGCAGGAGCAGUGGAGGUGACACCGGUGGGGGUGACACUGGUGGAGGUGACACCAGUGGAGGUGACAGCAGUGGUGGUUCCCUCAGUAGUAGAGGAGACAGUGGAGGUCCCUGCUGAGGUGGUGGCAGGAGCAGUGGAGGUGACAUCAGAGGAGGUGACACCAGUGGUGGUGACACCAGUGGAGGUGACACUGGUGGAGGUUCCGUCAGUAGUAGAGGAGACAGCAGAGGUCUCUGUUGAGGUGGUGGCAGGAGCAGUGGAGGUGACAUCGGUGGGGGUGACACUGAUGGAGGUGACAUCGGUGGUGGUGACACCAGUGGGGGUGACACCAGUGGAGGUGACAACGGCGGAGGAAACAGUAGUGGUGGUUCCCUCAGUAGAAGAGGAGACAGCGGAAGUCCCUCCUGAGCUGGUUGCAGGAGCGGUGGAGGUGACAUCGGAGGAGGUGACACUGAUGGAGGUGACACUGGUGGAGGUGACACCUAUGGAGGUGACAGCGGUGGAGGUGGCACCAGUGGAGGUGACACUGAUGGAGGUGCCACCAGUGGAGGUGACACUGGUGGAGGUUCCCUCAGUAGUAGAGGAGACAGCGGGGUUCUGUCCUGAGAUGGUGGCAGGAGCAGUGGAGGUGACACUGGUGGAGGUGACACUGGUGGAGGUGACAGCGGUGGGGGUGACACCCGUGGAGGUGACAUCUAUGGAGGUGACACUGGUGGAGGUUCCCUCAGUAGUAGAGGAGACAGCGGAGGAUCCUCCUGAGGUGGUGGCAGGAACAGUGGAGGUGACAUCGGAGGAGGUGACACCAGUGGAGGGUCCUAGCAGGGUUGUAGUAGAGGCUGUAGAGGAUGCUGCUGAGGCAGUGGGAGAUGCUGUGGGGGUGACAGCAGUGGAGGUGACAUCAGCGGAGGUGACACUGGUGGAGGUGACAGCAGUGGAGGUGACAUCGGUGGAGGGUCCUUGCAGGGUUGUGGAAGAGGCUGUAGAGGACGCUCCUGAGGCAGUGGGAGAUGAUGUGGGGGUGACACUGGUGGAGGUGACAUCUGUGGUGGUGCCACCAGUGGAGGUGACAGCAGUGGUGGUUCCCUCAGUAGAAGAGGAGACAGCAGAGGAUCCUCCUGAGGUGGUGGCAGGAGCAGUGGAGGUGACAUCAGUGGGGGUGACACUGGUGGAGGUGACAGCAGUUGGGGUUCCCUCAGUAGCAGAAGAGACAGUGGAGGUCCCUGCUGAGGUGGUGGCUGGAGCGGUGGAGGUGACAUCGGUGGAGGUGACACCAGUGGAGGUGACAUCGGUGGUGGUGACACCAGUGGGGGUGACAUUGGUGGAGGUGACAGCGCUGGAGGUGACACUGGUGGAG